Long non-coding RNA from Juglans microcarpa x Juglans regia, 194 nucleotides. RefSeq lists it as uncharacterized. The transcript has 3 exons. The record is from RefSeq and is a predicted model, not a curated record. Lineage: Eukaryota; Viridiplantae; Streptophyta; Magnoliopsida; Fagales; Juglandaceae.
UGAUUUUGUAUUGAAAGGAUUUCUGGCGAAAAGCGACCGUGAUUCAAGGUAGUCUCUUGUAGUUGCACUUUAUUAGGAACUAUAGUUAUCUGUAUCUAAUGCCCCUAUCCUUCAUAUGUUAGAUAAAGGUGGUUGGGGGAGCGAGGCUUUUGUUCUUGAAAUGGUAAAAUCUGCAGGAAAUUUGUUUGUGGGCA